UAGAGUUUGAUCCUGGCUCAGGAUGAACGCUGGCGGUCGGCCUAACACAUGCAAGUCGAACGAAGUCUUCGGACUUAGUGGCGGACGGGUGAGUAACACGUGAGAACCUGCCCUCUGGAGGGGGACAACCGUUGGAAACGACGGCUAAUACCCCAUACGCCUUCGGGUGAAAGCUUUUGCGCCAGAGGAGGGGCUCGCGGUCGAUUAGCUAGUUGGUGGGGUAACGGCCUACCAAGGCAGCGAUCGAUAGCUGGUCUGAGAGGACGAGCAGCCACACUGGGACUGAGACACGGCCCAGACUCCUACGGGAGGCAGCAGUGGGGAAUUUUCCGCAAUGGGCGCAAGCCUGACGGAGCCAGACCGCGUGCGGGAAGACGGCCCUUGGGUUGUAAACCGCUUUUCUCAGGGAAGAAGUCAGUGACGGUACCUGAGGAAUCAGCCUCGGCUAACUCCGUGCCAGCAGCCGCGGUAAUACGGAGGAGGCAAGCGUUAUCCGGAAUUAUUGGGCGUAAAGCGUUCGCAGGCGGCUUGGCAAGUCUGCUGUCAAAGCCCGCGGCUCAACCGCGGAUCGGCAGUGGAAACUGUCAGGCUAGAGUGCGGUAGGGGUAGGGGGAAUUCCCAGUGUAGCGGUGAAAUGCGUAGAUAUUGGGAAGAACUUCCAAUGGCGAAAGCGCCCUACUGGACCGCAACUGACGCUCAUCGACCAAGCUAGGGGAGCGAAAGGGAUUAGAUACCCCUGUAGUCCUAGCUUAAACGAUGAACAGUUCGUCCAAAUUA
This 777-nucleotide ribosomal RNA is filed under the name uncultured Thermosynechococcus sp. Its description in RNAcentral is "bacterial SSU rRNA". It matches the Rfam family "Bacterial small subunit ribosomal RNA", at positions 1 to 829 of the family's 1533-position model. Lineage: Bacteria; Bacillati; Cyanobacteriota; Cyanophyceae; Acaryochloridales; Thermosynechococcaceae. The record is from RNAcentral.